RNAcentral lists this ribosomal RNA (576 nucleotides) under uncultured bacterium. Its description in RNAcentral is "bacterial SSU rRNA". It matches the Rfam family "Bacterial small subunit ribosomal RNA", at positions 338 to 916 of the family's 1533-position model. The record is from RNAcentral.
CCUACGGGAGGCAGCAGUGAGGAAUAUUGGUCAAUGGGCGCAAGCCUGAACCAGCCAUGCCGCGUGCAGGAGGACGGUCCUAUGGAUUGUAAACUGCUUUUAUACAGGAAGAAACCCUCCCACGUGUGGGAGAUUGACGGUACUGUAGGAAUAAGGAUCGGCUAACUCCGUGCCAGCAGCCGCGGUAAUACGGAGGAUCCAAGCGUUAUCCGGAAUCAUUGGGUUUAAAGGGUCCGUAGGCGGUCUUAUAAGUCAGUGGUGAAAUCCCAUCGCUCAACGAUGGAACUGCCAUUGAUACUGUAAGACUUGAAUACUUAGGAAGUAACUAGAAUAUGUAGUGUAGCGGUGAAAUGCUUAGAGAUUACAUGGAAUACCAAUUGCGAAGGCAGGUUACUACUAAUAUAUUGACGCUGAUGGACGAAAGCGUGGGGAGCGAACAGGAUUAGAUACCCUGGUAGUCCACGCCGUAAACGAUGGAUACUAGCUGUUCGGAGCAAUCUGAGUGGCUAAGCGAAAGUGAUAAGUAUCCCACCUGGGGAGUACGUUCGCAAGAAUGAAACUCAAAGGAAUUGACGG